GACGAACGCUGGCGGCGUGCUUAACACAUGCAAGUCGAACGGAAAGGCCUCUUUCGGGGGGUACUCGAGUGGCGAACGGGUGAGUAACACGUGAGUAACCUGCCCUUGACUUUGGGAUAACUUCAGGAAACUGGGGCUAAUACCGGAUAGGAGCUCCUGCUGCAUGGUGGGGGUUGGAAAGUUUCGGCGGUUGGGGAUGGACUCGCGGCUUAUCAGCUUGUUGGUGGGGUAGUGGCUUACCAAGGCUUUGACGGGUAGCCGGCCUGGGAGGGUGACCGGCCACAUUGGGACUGAGAUACGGCCCAGACUCCUACGGGAGGCAGCAGUGGGGAAUAUUGCACAAUGGGUGGAAGCCUGAUGCAGCAACGCCGUGUGCGGGAUGACGGCCUUCGGGUUGUAAACCGCUUUCGCUCAUGACGAAGCUUUGUGUGACGGUAGUGGGUAAAGAGGCACCGGCUAACUACGUG
RNAcentral lists this ribosomal RNA (467 nucleotides) under uncultured bacterium. Its description in RNAcentral is "partial 16S ribosomal RNA". It matches the Rfam family "Bacterial small subunit ribosomal RNA", at positions 28 to 507 of the family's 1533-position model. The record is from RNAcentral.